UACGAAGGGAGCUAGCGUUGUUCGGAAUUACUGGGCGUAAAGCGCGCGUAGGUGGUUAUGCAAGUCAGAGGUGAAAUCCCACGGCUCAACCGUGGAAUUGCCUUUGAAACUGCGUAGCUAGAGUUCGGAAGAGGAGAGUGGAAUUCCUAAUGUAGAGGUGAAAUUCGUAGAUAUUAGGAGGAACACCAGUGGCGAAGGCGGCUCUCUGGUCCGAUACUGACACUAAGGCGCGAAAGCGUGGGUAGCAAAC
RNAcentral lists this ribosomal RNA (250 nucleotides) under uncultured bacterium. RNAcentral's name for it is "partial 16S ribosomal RNA". It matches the Rfam family "Bacterial small subunit ribosomal RNA", at positions 524 to 773 of the family's 1533-position model. The record is from RNAcentral.